This 2395-nucleotide long non-coding RNA is filed under the name Nicotiana tabacum (common tobacco). RNAcentral's name for it is "long non-coding RNA (NTAB_LNC012074)". The record is from RNAcentral. Lineage: Eukaryota; Viridiplantae; Streptophyta; Magnoliopsida; Solanales; Solanaceae.
CUAACUUGACUCAUUGGAAUAUGUAAAUAAGGGCAACAACAACAACAACAACUAUGUGUCAUGACCCAAACCGAUGGGCCGCGAUGGGCACCCGAUACCUUACUCAACCGAGUACCAACGUAACGUAUCUUUCUUAUUACAUUAUCAUAUACACAUGAUAUACGGGCCUAAUAGGCCAACAUAAUUCUUUAUAAACUCAAAACAUAGGCCGACAAGGCCGUACAAUCUUUUAUGUAUACGACAUAUAUCUACAAGCCUUUAAGAAUACAUAAAUGUCAUAAAGGUCGGGACAGAGUCCUACCAUACUAAACAAUACACGUCUAAAUCAUACUAACCAAACGAGCAACUCUGAAGCAAAUGGCGUGCACCAACAUCUUCCACUGAGCUGAUAGCCUACUUGGAGGGCUCUCGACCUGUCUAUCGGGACCUGCGGGCAUGAAACGCAGCGUCCCCAGGCAAAAGGGACGUCAGUACGAAUAAUGUACCGAGUAUGUAAGGCAUAUAAAUAAGUACAUAAGAGACAUGGAAGAAAUAUAGAGUACAUGACUCAACCUGUAAGUCUGAAUAACUUUGUANNNNNNNNNNNNNNNNNNNNNNNNNAUACAUACAUAUAUACACGUAUAUAACGUCGUUUGAAACAUAUUUCAGCCACUGUGGACAACAUUAUCAUUAUAUACCAGCUGAUCGAGUGGUGGUGCGUAUAUAACGCCGUAACCUUUUUCCCGUAUCGCAUAUAAAUAUAAUAUACAUAUAUACGCGUAUAUAACGCCAUCUGGUCAUGGGUCAAUGCACAUGUAUAAAUGGAUGAAAUGCAUGAAAAAUACGUUAUAAUCUUAAUAUGCCUUCCGGAUAACCUUUUUCAACUGUAUAUUAUUCUGAGACCCGUGAACAGGAAAUAAUAAUAUUUUUUACGGGGAAUCAAGAAUAUAGACACCCCUAAUAACUCUAUGAAUAGAGUAAUUUAUGGAAACUGUGUAUUUGCUCGUUUCUUCAAUAUAAUUUGGACCAUGCCAAAAGAAAGAAGGGAUGACCUUAACAUACCUGAGUAGAAAAAACUCCGUAUAAUAUUCUUGGCGAAGAUUACACCAUACUCUUUUAGAAUCACAAAACUUGGACGGAAUUGCUUCAAAGUUCUUGGUUUUGAAAUGGAACAUUUUCUGCUUCUGAAAUUGAAACCUUGCUUUGUUUCGAAAUGAAAAUGCUUCUGCUUUAAUCGUUCUUGGCAGAUUUGUGUUGGGCUUUAAAGAACUCCCAAGAAGCAAUUUCAAUUGGAAUGAAAUGCCACCACUUACGUUCUUGGCUAGUCAAAGGCAGAUUGGUUUUUGCCUUUUUACAAAGAAUUCUCUAUCUUAUCCAAAGUCUUGUAAGAAUUAAUUUAUGGUAUAAAAGCCAUCUGGCAAGGUGACUUUAAGAGUCAUCUUUUGCCUAUUGUGGCUUUAUGACACGUGAAAUGGUGGGUGAAGAUUAUUAAUCUUUACCCACUUAUUAGUUAACUGAGUAAUGUCCCGUUAUCCGGUAAUUAAUUAAUUACCCGCAUAAUUGAGAAUUAUUCCCACUUACUUGAAAUAUUACUCACUUUUCACAUACCUUAUAUGCCUUACUAUUAUGGUCAUGUGGUACAUUGUAUGGUACUAGUCCAUAAAUACCGAGUAUUUUAGCUUGAGCCGUAUUUUAUCCCAAAAUACCAAAUUUCAACGAAAUUCAUUUUCUUAGACUUGCUCCCCCUUUCACCUUCAUGAAGUUACUAAUCACUUGUGAAAUAGCAUAAUCCUUAUAAUCCUCAAAUAAUCUUUUCCUUGGACUGAUGUCAAUUACCUUACGAUAAAUUCAACGUAAAAUACUAUAGGGUGCAACAUCGUCGUAACUUAUUAUUGCGAAGUGUAACAUCACUGUAAUGUAAUACUACAGGGUACAACACUUUCGUAACUUAAUAAUGCAGGACGUAAUAUCAAUCGUAACAUAUUACUGUAGAGCAUAACAUCGUCGUUAAUACUGCGGAACGUAAUAUUGACGUAAUAUUACAGGGCGUAACAUCACUCCCCUCUUUGGAACAUUCGUCCUCGAAUGUUGACUGAUGCUCUUAUCAUUUUUGUAACUUAUAGUUCUUGUGAAUACCUUAAUACUCUUCUUUCCAUUUAAGUAGUUGCUCUGUGAAUAAAUCUAAAGUCUAGGAUAUUCCCCCCUUUAGUCUUUUUGCUCAUAUCAUGACCUGUGGUCGAAAUCUUCCUAAUCUUGCAACUUCUGUUACCUCCUAUCAUGCAGCAUGUAUGACCCUGGCUUUGUAGGUGCACUUAUGCGAUUCAUCUUUCCUUCUUCCUUUUAUCUUUUAGUCAAUCUCUAGGCUUUACUUUGUAUAUACAAGGCUUAAUAGGAUGCCUCUCUAGGCCUCUAUAGG